UACAGAGGGUGCAAGCGUUAAUCGGAAUUACUGGGCGUAAAGCGCGCGUAGGUGGUUUGUUAAGUUGAAUGUGAAAUCCCCGGGCUCAACCUGGGAACUGCAUCCAAAACUGGCAAGCUAGAGUAGGGCAGAGGGUGGUGGAAUUUCCUGUGUAGCGGUGAAAUGCGUAGAUAUAGGAAGGAACACCAGUGGCGAAGGCGACCACCUGGGCUCAUACUGACACUGAGGUGCGAAAGCGUGGGGAGCAAAC
Molecule: ribosomal RNA, 250 nt
Filed under: uncultured bacterium
Lineage: Bacteria
Description: partial 16S ribosomal RNA
Rfam family: Bacterial small subunit ribosomal RNA
Source: RNAcentral